GCUGCCCAGUGAAAAAAAAUUCAAAGUGGAAAUUUUAGAGCAUUAGUGCUAGCUUUUAGCUUUUUGUGCUUGAGCAAUUCUAGGUAUUGGUAACAAGAAGUGUAAGGUUCCUGGAAGAAGUCUUAAGACUCAUAAUACCAAUGCAGGAAUGUGCUUGAACACACCAAAGAAAACCCAUACAACACCAAAAUGGACAGAUGAUUGAUUAGCCACAUAACUAGCCCCUCAGGAAAGAAACAGCAAAGUUUCUGGAUGACUACAGACUGAAGGAGUUGACUGUCAGAGCUGUACAGCUGUUCAUUUUUCUAUUACAGAAAAGAUGGCCCCAGCUGUAAAUGGCAGGGUGUGCAGAGCAAUGGGUGCCCUUGCAGCUGUGAAGAUGUCACUUGCAGAUGAGAUAGUGUUGCCUGUUUCUGCAGUGUUUGCAUAGCUCAUACACUGUCAGCAGAGAGAGACAUAUUCAAAGGGCUCACUUUGAACUAAGGUUUCAUAAUGCUAAACUGCUUGUGAAGUGCACAGAAAGGGAGCCUAACCUGAUGCACAUUGUAGUGGUUUGAUCUCGGCUGGAUGCCAGGACUCACCAAAGCCAUUCUAGCACAUCCCUCCACAACUGGACACGGGAGAGAAAAGAGUUCAUGGGCGGAGGGAGAAGAGUCCUCCCCCUGCUCCAGUGUGGGGUCCCUCCCACAGGAGACAGCUCUCCAUAAACUUCUCCAAUGUGAGUCCAUCCCACGGGCAACAGUCCUCCCCACACUCUGGCAAUGUGGGUCACUCUUCCAUGUGGUUUGGUCCUGCAGGCACAGCCUGCUCCAGCCUGGGUUCCCCACAGGGUUGCAAAUCCUACCAGGAAUCCUGUUCUAGUGUCAGCUUCUCUCUGAAGGGCUGCAGGUCUUGUUUUCCCUUUUCAGGUCUUGAAGAAGGGGGGCAAAAUAUAUGUGGAAGGUUGGACCUGUUUCCACAACAAAAAUGAGGCAGGAGGAACCUGGAGUGAACAGCCAGGCAACUGGAGGGUUUGAUCAAUCCUCCUUCAGCCUGGCUAUUCCCUCAGCUACAGAGGAAACUCUUGCUCUCUAGGGCAAUCUGCCUAGGUAAGCUGUUUAUCCUUUUUCUGAUGUGUUCCUCUGUGGUGGAGGAAAAUUCAGGGUGAGGUACAUCAAAAGGAAAUGCCUUUUGGAGUCAGCUGAAGGAGUGGAUAGAUUUGCGUGUCAAAAAAGGGAGCAACUUAGCAUAUGAAACUCUCUAAUGCAUUAAAAAUGGGACAGUCAUUCAUGCUGUAAAUCCAGACGGAGGUGAAGGAGGAAAGUAGAAUAAUGGAGGCAUCUACAAAAGUAGCUUUUGCAUUGCAAGACAUUGCAGUACCUAUUCUAAGUUCUGUGAGGUUGUGUUCUGCAAGGUGAAUUCUAUGUGCCUGCUUUGUUUUUUUUCACCACCUAUAAAGGAAAUUUUUCUGUUUCUUUUAAUUUAGGAUAUUUUGGCAAUUUUCUGCUUCCCUUUAUUUCCAGAAGGACCAAAAAACUGGAGUGAAAUAAAGACAUACCUUAAUUUUA
Molecule: long non-coding RNA, 1547 nt
Organism: Vidua macroura (Pin-tailed whydah)
Lineage: Eukaryota; Metazoa; Chordata; Aves; Passeriformes; Viduidae
Exons: 4
Source: RefSeq, a predicted model, not a curated record